CAAAUCUUGACAUCCUUUGACCGCUCUAGAGAUAGAGUCUUCCCCUUCGGGGGACAAAUGACAGGUGGUGCAUGGUUGUCGUCAGCUCGUGUCGUGAGAUGUUGGGUUAAGUCCCGCAACGAGCGCAACCCUUAAGUUUAGUUGCCAUCAUUAAGUUGGGCACUUUAGGUUGACUGCCGGUGACAAACCGGAGGAAGGUGGGGAUGACGUCAAAUCAUCAUGCCCCUUAUGAUUUGGGCUACACACGUGCUACAAUGGAUAAUACAAAGGGCAGCGAAUCCGCGAGGNCAAGCAAAUCCCCAUAAAAUUAUUCUCAGUUCGGAUNGCUAGUCUGCAACUNGNNUACAUGAAGCCNGGAAUCGCUAGUAAUCG
RNAcentral lists this ribosomal RNA (372 nucleotides) under uncultured bacterium. Its description in RNAcentral is "bacterial SSU rRNA". It matches the Rfam family "Bacterial small subunit ribosomal RNA", at positions 975 to 1344 of the family's 1533-position model. The record is from RNAcentral.